CCUUGAACCUGGGUUGCUUCUGAAGAAGACUACUAUGUAGCCAGAAAGCCUCUCCUUUACCAGUUAGCACCAGUAGGUGAGACUUCUGGUCAAAAGAAACUGCUGCACUCUGAAAAAUGAGCUGCUGUCUUCCAUGUUUGGGGAAACUCAUUCAAGCAUGCUGAUAAGGUCUCUACUUGAUCCAUUGGUUAACAUGGCAGGAUCUACUUUUGAACCCUGGAAUACCAGAGUUUGGACCUGAAUCCCUGGAGUUCACCAAUGAUACAAGGUGUAGGAAUCAGAGCAUCUGACCUGCUCUGAGUGAAAGCUCACAUCCUUACAUUACAAACCACUUAAUUGUUUUUGUUUUUAACUGUAUCCUUAUUAAAUGACUGGCUAAUGUGCACUCAGCACUUCCAAACAGGCUAGAUAGUAUCCUGGCCUCUGCAGUAUAUUCAGCACUAUUUUGCCUUUGUCUUUUCUGCCUUUGCUUGUUGGAUUUCCUUUGCUCACAGCUUUAUGAUGUAGCUUGACUACAAUGGUACUUCCAUGACCAUCUAUCAGUACCAUUGUAGUCAAGCAAUAAUUAUUUAUUAUUGUAAAUAAGUCUUUUUAAGUUAUUUUAACUUUCUUGGGAUGGAUUGCUGACUUGGAGUCCGUUGAACUGGUAAUGGGCAGUGUGAACAUGCAAAGAAGUACUCAAUGUAGAAAUUUCAUGUGAAGUUGUCAUGAGUUCAGUUGCACCUGAUUAUUUCUAAGUAUAAUCCCUUACCUCAAACCAGUGGGUAGAUCUUAAUUGUACUCUUAUAUCGUUCAUCAUCUUCGUUGCAGCACACAUUGCAAUGUAGAGUUCUUUGAACAAUGGUUGUUCAUGUGAAUCUCUACGAAGUCUGUCCACAGCUGACUUUGGUAGCCAUGCCACAUUUGUUUCAAAUAUCUCAUUAUAUGUCCAGUGCUGGCAGUGUGUGAGUUGCUUGCAGAUUGCUUCCAUGACAGCACCUGAUCUGGUGAUGGCCUGUGUGAAAAUCAGCAGUUAUUGUCCUCUGACUCUGCUUUGUUGCAAACAAAUUGCUUGGAGCUGGUGUGCACUAAUCCUUGUUUUGAACCCCUCUAGUCAUUCUUAGCUAUGGAAAAUGCAGUAGAGAUUUAUGUUCCAUCUGUAACACCUCUUUUGGAGCCAGCAUUUAUCACAACACAGUUGUAAAAAGGUU
Long non-coding RNA from Gallus gallus (chicken), 1190 nucleotides. The record is from Ensembl. NCBI's taxonomy places the organism in Eukaryota, Metazoa, Chordata, Aves, Galliformes, Phasianidae.